This 481-nucleotide ribosomal RNA is filed under the name uncultured bacterium. Its description in RNAcentral is "partial 16S ribosomal RNA". It matches the Rfam family "Bacterial small subunit ribosomal RNA", at positions 28 to 507 of the family's 1533-position model. The record is from RNAcentral.
GAUGAACGCUGGCGGCGUGCCUAACACAUGCAAGUCGAACGGAGAUUACGGACGGAAGUUUUCGGAUGGAAGACUGUAAUUCUUAGUGGCGGACGGGUGAGUAACGCGUGGGCAACCUGCCCUAUACAGGGGGAUAGCAGCUGGAAACGGCUGGUAAGACCGCAUAAGUCGGCGAGACCGCAUGGUUUUGCCGGGUAAUGAGCAAUCAGGUAUAGGAUGGGCCCGCGUCCGAUUAGCCAGUUGGCAGGGUAAAAGCCUACCAAAGCAACGAUCGGUAGCCGGACUGAGAGGUCGGACGGCCACAUUGGGACUGAGACACGGCCCAAACUCCUACGGGAGGCAGCAGUGGGGGAUAUUGCACAAUGGAGGAAACUCUGAUGCAGCGACGCCGCGUGAGUGAAGAAGUAUUUCGGUAUGUAAAGCUCUAUCAGCAGGGAAGAUGAUGACGGUACCUGACGAAGAAGCCCCGGCUAACUACGUG